AGCGAGUUGGAGAAGAUGGUUACCUCGAGAGUUUCAUAAGCUCUAGACCUCGGUUCAAAUCCGAGACUCGCUA
This 73-nucleotide transfer RNA is filed under the name Thomasclavelia spiroformis. Its description in RNAcentral is "[Clostridium] spiroforme tRNA-Met". It matches the Rfam family "tRNA". Rfam says of the family: Transfer RNA (tRNA) molecules are approximately 80 nucleotides in length. Their secondary structure includes four short double-helical elements and three loops (D, anti-codon, and T loops). Further hydrogen bonds mediate the characteristic L-shaped molecular structure. tRNAs have two regions of fundamental functional importance: the anti-codon, which is responsible for specific mRNA codon recognition, and the 3' end, to which the tRNAs corresponding amino acid is attached (by aminoacyl-tRNA synthetases). tRNAs cope with the degeneracy of the genetic code in two manners: having more than one tRNA (with a specific anti-codon) for a particular amino acid; and 'wobble' base-pairing, i.e. permitting non-standard base-pairing at the 3rd anti-codon position. The record is from RNAcentral. Lineage: Bacteria; Bacillati; Bacillota; Erysipelotrichia; Erysipelotrichales; Coprobacillaceae. RNAcentral also lists the same sequence under 4 other names.